This 4362-nucleotide long non-coding RNA is filed under the name Paramuricea clavata. Lineage: Eukaryota; Metazoa; Cnidaria; Anthozoa; Malacalcyonacea; Plexauridae. The record is from RNAcentral.
AACUCCAUGGUCUUGUUUGAAUACCACGGGAGGUUAAUCAAUUUUUGUUAUAAAACGAAACUAACAUUCUAACAUUUCAUGGGUGGAGACUCACUUCUCACGGGAAAUUGGGACAUUGAAUUUUUCAAACCUUGCAAGAAUUUUGUAGCAAGCAUUUGCAUACAUCAUGUCAUUCAUGUGCUUUCAUCACUGUGAUCAGGCCAAUAUUGACAUAUCACUUGAUCCUAGCCUGACAUAAUCUGAUUUGCAAAGUUCCCCCUAAGCUCUAAUAAAAUAUUUUCCCGUUUAGAUAUAGAGAUGAUGCAGUUCAUGGCAUGAUCAUUUCACUGAUCAUCAGUGAUCAUUCCGUAUUGAUACAAGUGGGUGAAGGCAGUCAGGCAGAUUGGAUCUAUCUUGAAUGGUCUGCAUGUACCAGUGCUGGUCUGACAUGAUCUGAUUUCCAAAGUUCCCCCUAAGCUGUAGUAAAAUAUUUUCCCGUUUAGAUAUAGAGAUGAUGCAGUUCGUGGCAUGAUCAUUCCACUGAUCAUCAGUGAUCCGAUUCCGUAUUGAUACAAGUGGGUGAAUAUAAAAAUUGUGAAAAUACAAGGAGAACUUCGACGUUUCAAGCGAAGCCGGACCUUUCGACGAUCCAUAGUAAGUUAUUGAUUUAUUUCCUCGUUUUCUAAUAAAUCCCGUUUUAUUUAUUCAGGACAACUAGUUCAUGAAAGGGUUUCUAAGAACGAGUAUUCAGUUUAUCAACUCGGGAUAAAAUCGCUGAAUACCGCUAAACAAAAGGACAAGUUAUUAUCAUGAAAAAAGAUCACAAUUUUGGGGCAUCUCGCUCAAUAUAGAACUAACAGUUGAAGACUUUUUGUAGAUGGAAAUUUCGGGGCAAUUCGAGCGGAAGAUUAUAUUCAAUUUUCACUAGACCUAAUAACUAUAAACUAGGAUUUUAGUUCUAUAGUUAACUAAAACAACACUAGUUAUAACCAACCAUGUUAUUACAAUACGUAAUAUUUACUAUUGACCAUUUGCAUUUCCUGGGCAAAUUGUUAGCGAAGAUCCAAUGUAAUCUGAAGCCAUGAUCAUCGUCUCCAUUGUAAAACACCAGCCUUGAUGGUAAGAUUUUCUUUGUUGAAUAAUGUUACUGUUUCUAUUAAUAAUUUUAAGUCAUAUUUUUUGUGUACUAAAAUACGUCUAAUUCUCUUCAUUGAACUAGAGGUCUAAGUCUUGGUCGCACCUACCUGAAGAGCCUUACAGUAUGAAAGCUUGGAACCUUAAUAAUAAUAGGGAAGGAAGGGGCGGUUGACGCUCUUGUACAUAUAACAGAAGAAGCAAGAAGGAGAGAGUCUUUAUUGUCAUUAUUGAUUUUCAAGACUGAAAUAUCUGUUAUCAUGUGAUAUAUUCAUUAUCAUACUUAUCAUUUGAUAUAUUCAUUAUCAUUAUCAUCGAGAACUAUGCUUCUUGUUUUAGACUCAUUUGAUUCUCUAUAUAGAUAGGGAGAACGUAUAGGAAAACAGCUAUGAUAAAGGUUAUCUGAAACAUUUUAUGAAGGAUCGCUGAAUAACACAGACCAGUGACGAGUAGAGAGGGCGCAGGGCAAUUUAUUUUUCAUGGAGGAACAUACUUUACUAGAUUACAUUAGAGACGACUUUCAAUAAGGAAGAAGAAGCACAAUGCGUGACCCUCACCAAUUGAUGAUUCCUCUUAUUACGUUUUCGUAGCGCUUUGCAUUGUGGUUAUAGUGGUAUCUCGAAAAUAUUGAAUGUUUUCGUGAAUAUUUCGCUGUUGGCUAUCGCGCACCUGACUGUAGGCUUUUUUAAAAGUUCUUGCACGAGUCAGGACAAAAAAUAAGCCACCUUAAAUAUCAGUGAUACCACUAUAACCACAAUGCAAAGCGCUACGAAAACGUAAUAAGGGGGAAUCUCCGAAUCUAGUAUUGACAACUCUCAUCAAUUGACUGGGCUCCUUUGAAGCCUGCUUUAAGCCCCAGUCAAUGAUGAGAGUUAGCAUGCAGUCACGCAUUGGGGACAUGUCAAGCAUUAGAUUAACUAGUAAAGGGUUUCAUGAAAUGAGUGUUCGAACUAUCUCUUAACUCAAUCUGGUUUUAACUUAAAUGGAAUCCAUGAUAGUGUUGGGAAAGCAUUAAGAACAGCUAACCAAGAUCUCGUGACUGUCAACUCUCAAGCACUCUCAUCCUCGUUUGAUCCUCUCGCUUUAGUUACAGUAUGCCUACUUUACUGGAGGAAAAUUAUCAUGCGUAGAGGAAAAUCUUCCCCUUUUCCUUUUCUCGCACCCUUCAUUUAAUAGUAUACCGGACGUCGCCAGUUUAACCGCAACUAAAAGGCUCCCUUUGUUCAUCGGGAAACCCUUCUUGGCUUCAGCCCUUUGUUAAGCAGGAAAAGGUGGUUCUUUCAAUACGUGAACAGGCGCCAGAUUUGUGAACUUUGUAGCCUUGACAAAAUAAACCAACUCCCCCGCAAUAUACGUGUUCCUGCCAUUUAAGCCAGGAAACACGCGCAUAAAAUCACGAUUUUUCUUUAUCUUAAUGCUUGAAUUAAGUUCCUCAAUGAAUAAAUCGUUCCUUAUAGCCAGUAAGUUAAUCAAAUUUGAAAACUGUUACUGCUUUGCUGUAAAUUGUGUCUGAAAAGGAGGGUGAACUAUAUUUAUAUCGAAAUAUAAUAUAUCGUCCGCUCAUAUAAUGACGCAGCUCUGACGUAGGCGUUUAUUUUUAACCUGUCAUUGUUAUGAAAAUUAUAAUUGGCUUGAAAGAAAUUCCUUUAACAAUAUUCAAAAUAGACAAAAACAAGUGUCCUCACAUAGUUUCGAUACGUGAAAGAAACAAGCGCUUAUAGAGUGAACAGUUUGCUUCGAACACACACAACAGCAAAAGCGUCGAGCCUUUCAGAUGGGUUGGCAGAAAACAAACGAUAAAUCAGAACAGUCUAAUAAUCCCAGAGCUGUAAGAAGAAACAGGCCACAAUCUGUGGCCAUCACAGGUGGAGAAGUCGAACGGAUUAUUUUACAACGACAGUAUUCGAGUACGGAAACCACCGUUCAACGGAAUGGGUCAGAAACCACACAACAAACUACGUUAACAUGUACAAUUGUAGGACAAAUAUUGAGAAUCGUCGGAGAUAAUUUGGACAAUGUUAAAAAGGACAACUAUGAGGUUACGAAUUACGGACGUGUUUAAACGCGCCUGGCUUUGGUGCUUCACAAGUGUAGCUUCGUAUGCUUGAUUCCUAUAAACGACCAUAAUUAAAGAAACAUAUAUAUCUUGAUGAAUGUCCGUAAAACAAAUAUAUCCAAAAAGAACCCGUGGUGUACAAUACACAAUAUAUAUUACAACCAAAGAAUCAUAUUGACUACAAAUUGAGGUAGAGAAAAAGAUGUACUUUUGAAGAUAGCUUGGAAGAGGAUUGAAGAUAGCUUUAACUAUGGCAGAGGCGGAAUUUUCAGCUCGUAAUUUGAAGGAAUUUAAUAAGUCGAUUUAGGCGAGUUGAUGUAAUUGUAGAUGUAUAAGAAUGUACAGACUGUACAUGCAGUGUUUAACCGGUUAGAUUUAUAAUAAAGACGAGAACUUGUUGUUUUAUAAGCCUCGUUUCCAUUAAGGCCCGUUCAACCGAGGCCAGCAGGUUGGUUCAACAUCAUCCAAUAUUGUUGAAUGCAACUUGGAAGACAUUUUCGGUGUCAAAUACAGUUCUAGCAAUAUCAGUUGCUGUCUGUUUUAUGCAGUUGUUAUAAUUCUUGCGCGACUACAGCCCCCAAAAUUAAAAGUGGGGGGUAUAAGCCCCCCCAAAAAAAAACAAAAAAAAACCCAACCCGGCUAAGAUUCCAAACUGAAGUUUAUAUACAAGCAAUGGGAAAAUUUAGAGAAAAAUUUAGGACCAAUGAAAGAAAACCGGUACGUGUAUUAAAAAUAUCAAAUAGGACAUAUGGUACUGGUCCGGAAAUUUUUUAUAUCAAGGACAAUUCAUGGAAAUUAGCCCCCCCCCUCCAAAAAAAAUUGUUCCGCCGCCACUGGUUGUGAGUCAAAACGCGCUAGGUAUGAUGGAUCAACCCUCGUCUCACGCCCCCGUUGUGUACCACUGAUAUCCUACAAGAGGUCCUCUACUAUCCCUACGUUACCACUACAAUACCUAACGCGUUAACAACUAAUUUGUUUCCCCAGUAGUAUUACGUAACUUGACAAAAAAUUCUAACCAAAUCGCAAGACCACAGUUAGGAAAAUGUAUCCUACUACAGUGUUGAGUAAUGGACGAAGCGUUAGUUUAUAAAUGUCUUUUUUAAAAUUCCUUUUUGUGAUGGCUCUAGCUUUUGAUAUUUAGAAUAAGAUUACGAUUCCCGCAUUCGUCACUUUCUCAAGGGCCCAUUUGCAAU